This 1140-nucleotide long non-coding RNA is filed under the name Hordeum vulgare. RNAcentral describes it as "long non-coding RNA (HVUL_LNC004237)". Lineage: Eukaryota; Viridiplantae; Streptophyta; Magnoliopsida; Poales; Poaceae. The record is from RNAcentral.
GUCUCUCCAAGCCGCGGCCACGCUGAUGCCGGCCAAGAUCGGCGGCCGGGCCUCCUCCGUGCGGCCGUCGUCGCACGUCGCCCGGGCGUUCGGCGUCGACGCUGCCGCCAGGAUCACGUGCUCCCUGCAAUCCGACAUCAGGGAGGUCGCAAGCAAGUGCGCCGACGCCGCCAAGAUGGCCGGCUUCGCCCUCGCAACCUCUGCCCUCCUCGUCUCUGUAAGCUGACUAAUCUAUUCUAUUGCCGUGCAUGGCCGUUUAUUCUAGUCCAGCUAGCUAGAGUGACUCGCGUGGGUGCAGGGCGCAAGUGCGGAGGGGGCGCCCAAGAGGCUGACCUUCGACGAAAUCCAGAGCAAGACCUACAUGGAGGUGAAGGGUACCGGCACCGCGAACCAGUGCCCGACCAUCGACGGCGGCGUCGACUCCUUCCCCUUCAAGGCCGGCAAGUACGAGAUGAAGAAGUUCUGCCUGGAGCCCACCUCCUUCACCGUCAAGGCCGAGGGCAUCCAGAAGAACGAGCCACCGGCCUUCCAGAAGACCAAGCUCAUGACCCGUCUCACUUACACCCUUGACGAGAUGGAAGGCCCGCUCGAGGUCGGCGCCGACGGCACCCUCAAGUUCGAGGAGAAGGACGGCAUCGACUACGCGGCCGUCACAGUGCAGCUCCCCGGAGGCGAGCGCGUGCCGUUCCUCUUCACCGUCAAGCAGCUCGUCGCCACCGGCAAGCCGGAGAGCUUCAGCGGGCCCUUCCUCGUGCCCAGCUACAGGGGUUCCUCUUUCCUCGACCCAAAGGGCCGUGGUGGCUCUACUGGCUACGACAACGCGGUGGCGCUGCCCGCCGGAGGCAGAGGAGACGAGGAGGAGCUGGCCAAGGAGAACGUGAAGAACGCGUCCUCCUCCACGGGCAACAUCACCCUCAGCGUGACCAAGAGCAAGCCGGAGACCGGCGAGGUGAUAGGCGUCUUCGAGAGCGUGCAGCCGUCAGACACCGACCUCGGCGCCAAGGCGCCCAAGGAUGUCAAGAUCCAGGGUGUGUGGUACGCGCAGCUCGAGUCUAACUAGAGCAUAGCAGAAGUGAAGAUACUCAUCUUUUGUGCAUGCAUACGUGGGUUGGUCGGUGGAGAGGAAAGAAUCGAGGCAAC